This is a microRNA precursor of Nicotiana attenuata, 96 nucleotides long. It matches the Rfam family "MIR6152 microRNA precursor family". The record is from Rfam. NCBI's taxonomy places the organism in Eukaryota, Viridiplantae, Streptophyta, Magnoliopsida, Solanales, Solanaceae.
UGGACAGAUUAUUGUAUUCGACUGUAUUCACGGCGUGAAACAGGGGAUUACACCGUCUUUAAACGGAAAGUAAAUCAAUUAACAUAAUUGUAUUGG